UUUCAGGCUGUGGGGGUGCUGGCGUUGGAGGUGGAGGGUGGCUCCGCCGGCUGCCGAGGCUCCGCCUGUUGUUAACAUUGUUUCUGCUGCUGAUGUUGCCCAUGAUGAAGUUUUGGGUUGGGUUGGACUGUUUCUGUCUUUUUUAGGUUCACAGUUUGCUAAAAAAACAGGUGAGAGAAUUAUCCAGUAGCUUUGUUUAGCUGUAACUGACAGAAGCGGAUCUGGAACUUUCAACGGUUCUGUUUUUUGUUUUAUUUUUGUUUUAAUGGCAAUCAUAGAAAGGAAGGAAACGAAGGGAAAGUUUUCGGUUAGGAAGGAAAUGGAGGGAAACAACGAGGAGAUUUUUUAUUUCUGCUUUUGUUUGCUGUUUAUACAACAACAACAAGGAGAAGAGAGGGAGGAGGAGGAGAAAUGAUUUUGCAAAAAGAGAAGAACACGAGGGAUGAAGAGAGGAUGGAGGAGGAGGAGGAGGAGGGGAAUCUGGGGGUGGGUGGUAUAAUGGGAUUGCGUAAAGCUCCACCCACAAUCAGAUCAUGCCAAAGUUGGCUGCUUUUUUUUCUUUUAUUAUUUUUUUUUCAUUAAUUUAUUGAUUAGUGGGAAAAAAUUUCAACUUUUUUAGUUGGAUUUGUUAUUAUCUAAAAGAGCAAAACAAGUUGGUAUUAUUAUUUAUUAUAGUUUGAGUGCGGUUGUUUAUAUUUGUAAGUGUAUUUUUAAGAAUAUUUUAUUUGAAAAAAAAAAUUAAAUUAAUAUUAUUUUUAGUAUUUUCUUAAUAGUUUUAAGGUGUUAAUAUUAAAAAUAAAAAAUAUUUUAAUAUAAUUUUAAAUGAAAAGUAGUUUACACUACAUUAUUAAAUACCCAAUCAAUACUAUUAAUUUAAAGUAUUGAGGUUCCUAUUAUAUUUGUAUCAUAUCAUAGUAAUUGUUUGAUUAUUUUCUCCAGAUAAAUAAGAAAAAAAUAAUAAAAAAAAGGGCAUGAAUUUUUAUCUAUUUUUUUUAAAGUAUAAAAAAUUACUUAAAAAUGGUUCCAAAAUAUAUGUGUAUGUGUGUGUUAUAUUAAUAUCGAAGUAUUGUUGAUGGAUUGAUCAUUGAUUCUUUAAUCAAUAUGCUAUUUGUCUUUUGUUUUAUCUUUUAUAUAAGAAAUAAAUUACAAUGAGAAACUGAAUCUCGAUUAAAGAUAUAUAGCAGCCUUAUAAAUCAAAGUGAAGUGUGGAGUUCUAAACUUAACUUUCAUAGGUUAAAAGUACAUGAGAAAGAUAUGUAAUAUGCAUGAAAAUCUUAGCCUAACCCAAUAUAUCCAACAUGCUCGGAUAAGAACAAAAUGAAUAGGUCAAGUAUAUAUUUUUUAAAAAUAUCAAAAGCUGGGUUAGAUAUAAUUAUAGGUCAAAACCCAACCCACUAUAUUUAUAAACACACAUAAUUAAAAUUAAGUAAAAAUAGUUUAUUGAUCAUGUUUAUAAUGACAAAACUUACUCUAACACUACCAAAUAUGAUGAUGGAAAGGUUAAAGUACAUUGUUUUUUUUUUUUAAUAUUAAAGUUAAUGUAUAAAUUAAAGAUGAGCCUAAAAUAACCUAUAUGCAUGAAAGUUUAUUCAAAGAUUAUUAUAAUAAUAUGAUACCGUUACUCCAUGCUUAUAAAGAUUGUUUUGCUUGGGAUUAUGAUGAGAUUCUUGAGCUAGCCAUAAGUUUGAUCAAACAUCCAUUAUCAACCUAACUUGGGUUUAAGACAUAAAGCAACAUCUUUUGAGAAUGACUUUAUGUGUGAUUGAUCAUGUAAAAAAGGAAAUAAAAUGAAUGUUAAAGGAUGGAUUCAUUAAGCCAACUAGAUAUGUUAAAUAGAUUUCUAAUAUUAUGCUAAUACUAAAAAAAAAAUGGAAAACUAAGAUUUUAUGUAGAUUUAAUAAAUCUUAAUUUUAUAACAUCAAAUGAUAAAUAUCCAAUGUCAAUGACUAAUAUAUCAAUCGAUUCAAUAGCAAGGAAUGACAUCUUUAGUUUUAUGAAUGGCUAUUCAGGUUAUAAUUAGAUUGUCAUCACUAAAAUGAUGUUUCAAAGACCGUUUUUAGAUGUCCUGGCUCAUUAAAAAUAUAUGAGUAGGUAGUUAUGUCAUUUAUCCUUAAUAAUAUUAGUGUUACUCAUAACAAGCUAUGAUUUUGUUUUUUCAUAACAUAAUUAAUCAUAACAUAGAGGUCUAUAUUAAUGAUGUUAUGAUGAAAUAAAAAUAAAAAUCUAUUUAUUUAGACAAGCUAUAUUAUAUCCUUAAGUGAAUGCGAAUGCAUAAUCUCAAGAUAAAUUCAUUAAAAUAUGCAUUUUGUAUGCAUGUAUAGGGGUAGACAAAAACAAAGUAAGGGGGGUUAUGAAAGCUUGAUCUCCAUAAAUAAAAAAGAAAUUGUAAAGCUUUGUAAAUAAAAUUAAUUUUUUAAAGAGGUUCAUAUCAAACUCUUUAAGAAAGAUUAUGUCAUUUACUAAACUACCAAGAUGGAAUAACAUAUAUAAGUUUCAAUGGAUUAAUAUCAAAUUGCAUUUCAAGAAAUAAAAACUUAUCUAACUAAACCUUUAGCAUUAACCAUACCAAAGCCUAUGAAGCCUUUAAGGCUAUAUAUUUUAGUUGUACAAGGGUUGAUUAGAAAAAUGAAAUUGGCUAUAAACAAGCUAUUAAUUAUCUCGAUCAUGUCUUUAUAGAGGAUGAAGAAUGAAAUAUUUUAAUAGAAAAACUUUGUUUAUCCUUAUGUUUUAUUGGUGUAAAGUUAUAUUGGUACAUACUAAUAGUUAAACUAUGUAUACUAUAAAAUAAAUUUGAUAAAAUACAUAUUAUCCAAACCUUUCUCUCACGAUCAAAUUGGUAAUUAGAUAUUAACAUUGUUUGAACUUGAUUUACAUUGUAUUCCAUAAAAAAUAGUAAAAGUCAAGCUUUGACUAAUUUAUUAGUUGAUCACCACUACCUUGAUAUCGACAAUGAACUGGAAUAAGAUAUGAAUGUUGUUAACGCAAGACUUGUUUCACAGAUGUUAUGGUUUGAUGGAUUAAAAACAAAAAAUAAAGCUUGUGCAUAUGUGUUAAUAAUUUCUCUAAAAGGUCAUAAAAUGAUUUUAUUAUUUUAGCUUCAUUUUUCUUAUACUAAUAAUCAAGCUAUAUAUAAGGCCUUAGUCAUAAUUUUAAAGAUACUUAUAGAUUUAAAAGCUUAAUAAGCUAGAGUAACAAGAUAUUCGUUACUUAUUAUAAAAAAGUUGGCUAGUGAGUAUACAUGUGAACACUAACUUUAUAUUAUACGGUAAACAAACACUUUAUUAAUAGAUUUCCUAAUUUAAUUAUUUUUUUGUAAGAGGAAAUAGUAUAUAAACCAAUAACUUGGCUGAAUAUGGAUCAAGAUUAAAAUGGUCAUCGCUCAUCAUGACAUUAUUUAUAUGAGGAUUAUUAAUUGACUAACAUAGAUAAUAUACAUUAAGGAUAUGAUGAUAAGAAAAGGUUCAUAUUAUAUAGUAAGAAAAGCACAAAAUAGUAAGAUAAAACUAUUGUAAAACUUUUCUACCAAGUAACAAGUAAAAUGUCUCAAUAAAUCAAGUGGCAUUGAUCCACAAAAUAAUUAAGGAGAAGAAAUCAAAUCUUAUGUGUAGUAUCCUUCAUAAAAAGUUUAAGGUUAUUUAGACUAAAUGUAUUCAAUUAUAUUUUCCUUGAAGAUGAAUUAUGUAAAAGAUAUAAAACUAGAAUUUUUCUUAGAUAUUUAGGACCAAAAGAAGAAUUAUUAGUCAUGAUUGAUGUUUAUAAAGGACUUUUUAGGGUUGUUGAUUACUCAAAUAUUAUUUUGAUAAAUAUGAUACCAGUUUAUCAUUUCUAUAUUCUAAUUGGGAGAAACUAUACAAUAGGAACUUAAUCCUAAUAAGAGACAUCUAAAAACCUCAUAAAAUCAAGAAAAAUAUAAGGAUUUAAGAGUUCAAAGCUUUAAAAAAGGUAAUUUCCUUCAUAACAACACCACAUAAGGAAAAUAACAUGUUUAAAAUGAAGAAGAUAAAUAAUUUGAAUAAAUCUAUUUGUAGGAAAAUAAAGCAAAGCCGUAAAGAAAGCAAUAAAAACCCUUCAGAGGAAUAUAUAUAUAUAUAUAUAUAUAUAUAUAUAUAUAUAUAUAUAUAUAUAUAUAUAUAUAUAUAUGUUCUAGUUAUUGUUCAAAGUGACUAUAUGACGUUUUAUAUAUUGAUACAAAGUUUAAAUCUUGUUUAAACAUGUAAAUCCUAAUUUAUAUAAAUGUAUAAGUAAAGAGACUUUAUUAGAUUAUAAUGCAAUCUAAAAUCCUUAUUUAUUGAUAUUAUAUGAAUCAUAAGUUAAACUUAUGGAUUCUUACUGGUUAUUCUAUUAAUGACUCUUACACUAAAUAAUACUAGGCUCGCUGUAAUAGAGAUAGUGUGAGAGAGCUAUGUAAAGAAUGUAAUAUUGUACCAUGUAGAGAUCUCAAAAGGAAUGGUGUUUUUCAAUCAAGCAAAUAUGGAAUUUGAGGCAAAGCCAAGAGUUCAUAAAAGGGUCUGGUUAAUGUUUCAAAAAUCAAUAGGUGUCCUCGUGGGUGGGAAUCAUACCUCCUCCAGGUUUUGCACUCGCUAAGUCCCCUAGCUUUCUCUUAGCUUGCCUUAUCUCUAUUUUGAUUGCUAUUUUUUUUAUUAAAGACUCGAUCUUUUUGAAAAAAACUAGUAAAACUUGUCUUUGGCACCACUCUUGUGGUUGAAAGUGAAAGAAACAUGAAUUUGAAGGCCUUGAGAUGCCAGAUACUUAGUGGAUCCAUAGCCAGACGUGUACUUCUACGAGCAUUUAUGCUUGCCACGGAUAUUUCCAUCAUUCCUUUGUUGCAGAUCUUGUCUGGGUCUGAUCCUGGGUUGUUGCUUGAUUCUGUGAGGUACAAGGAAUGUGAUUUCCCCCUUAUGUUUAUGGGCUCAAAUUUGUUAAAGAAUCGAUUUUUAAAGCCAAUCUGGGGCACAAUUGACUGCAAGGACGGUAUGAAUGUGACAACUAAUGUUGCUAGAGAGCUAAUGGGUAUGCAAAUGAUAGAUUCUAUGAUGUACAUCAUGGGAAUUAUAAUCCAUCUCGUAAAGCUAAAUCUAAUAUGCAAGAGGAUUUAGAUGGUCCAAUGACAAGAGGGAGAGCGAAACAACUACAACGGGCCUUGAGGAAUCAAAUUGCGAUGAUUGAAGCUGCGUCGAAGUUAAAAAUUAACAAUCAGUUUGAAAUUGGUUCAAGGUGCUUAUUUGCCUACAAUUGGAAAUUGGAGAUGGGAAAAGCCCUUAAUGGUUCUUUUCAUGCUGGCUACUUGUAUUUGGAUUGAUAAUGCAAGUGAAGGAAUUGAUGUUGUUUACGGUCAGAACAGUAGAUGGAUUUGAACCCGAAUUUGAAGUCAUCAUGCAUGUGAAAAAGAUUUAUCUAGGUAAAAUUCAAGUUCAGAACGUGAUCUUUUCUAUUGUCCAACCAUGAUUGCAUUGACUUUUGUGUCAAAAGUUAUGGCUAUUUUAAAUUUGGCUGCUUAUGUUUCAGAAAUGUAAAAAAAAAUGUUAUUAGUUAAAUUUGUCUACUUACUUUAUUAAAAGUCUAGUUUUUAGGCUUGACUUCUGUCAUGUUGAAUUCCUAACUUUAGAGGGAUGUUCCAAUAAAUAUAGUAUCAGAAUAUGUAAUAAACUUUUGGCCAAGAUUUGAAACUUAAUUCAGAGAAUUAAAGUUGUUCUUCCAAAUUGUUUUGUGAAGAACCAUACCUAACUUAUCACUCUUCAAUCACAAAGAGUGUGGCAUCGAAAUCCUAGAUUGAUCUUUGUGGCAUCCAGAUCAACUUAUCAAAGUAUCAUUCUAGUCUAUCCUCCAUCUUAUUUAUCUUAAAAUCACUACAAUCCAGCCUAAAUACCAAAAGAAAGACAACACAACCAAACUUAUCCUUCAUCCAUUUUUGUUAGAAUCAUUGUUGCUGAUUUUCAAAUCAUUCAUGGUAUAUCAUCUGGUAUCAGAGCAUCAGUUGCGAUUUAAGAUAGGAGCCAUAAACAACAACAACAAGAAGAAAGGUUUGCUGGAAUUGAGGUUGAUAAACUUAAUUAUGGCUGGAGAUAAAGAAGAUUUUCCAAGAGGGUUAAGUUUGGAACAUGCAUAGGUUAUGGGCUUACAAUGAUCUCAUGCUGAGAUUCGAGAUGAAAUGACUGGAAUUCGUGAGCAGUUGAAUACCUUUAUGCAAAUGAUGCAAAUAAAUAAUUUGCAACCCAACAGAGGCAAGCACUUAGGGUGCCACGAAAUGAUAUUAUAGAAGUUGACGAAGAUCCAAAUGGGGAUGAUGAGGCUGAUGAUAGGGUCAAACCAAGAAGGCAUAAUUAUAAUCCUCCUAAUGGUCUCAAAUUUAACAUUCCACUGUUUAGAGGAAGUAGUUCACCUGAGGAAUACUUGGAGUGGAUUCAGAAGGUUGAAAAGGUGUCUGAAUGGUAUGAAUAUUCUAAAGAAAGGAAGUGCAAGGUGGCAGCACUUGAGUUUACAUAUUAUGCUUUUUUAUGGUGGGAAAACUUAAAGAUUCAAAGGAGAAGGGAUGGAGAAAAGGAGAAGGGAUGGAGAAGAGGAGAUUACAACAUGGGUAACUAUGAAAAGAGUGAUAAAGAAGAGAUUUAUUCCUGAUUAUUAUAAAUAGGAGCUAUACAUCAGACUUCAGACUUUGCGACAAGGAUCUUUGAGCGUGGAAUAGUUUGAGUUGCUUCUGAUUCGAUGCGAAUUGAUGGAACCUCAAGAGCAAACAAUAACUAGAUUUCUUGAAGGGUUGAGGAAGGAUAUAGCUAAUGUUGUUGAAUUACAGCCGUACAUCUUCCUUGAGGAAGUUAUAAAGCUUGCAACCCGAGUAGAGAGGCAGCAGAGACGAGGAGGUGUCCGAACUGGUGUAACUAUGUCAAGCACGACAAGGGUUGUUUCUACGCCUACACGAACAUGGAGCACACCUAAACGAGAUGAGAAGGUGGAGUUUAGCAAGGGGAAUACCAGUUCUAAUUCUUUGAAGGAAAAGGAGAAGGUGACAGAACCUCAACAUCCUAAGAGGUCUCGGGACAUCAAGUGCUUCAAGUGCUAGAACAUGGGCACAUUGCUUCGAGAUGUCCAAAUAAAAAGGUGAUGAUUUUGUAUGGGGAUCAUGGAGAGCUGAUCGAUGGAGAUGAGGUUGAAACUAAAGAUGAAAAUGAGGUACAAGUGGCUGAACAAAAAGAGGAUUUCGAACUAGUGAAGGGAGAUUUGUUAGUUGUUCAACGGGUUCUGAAUGCACAAAUUAAUGUUAGUGAUGAGUAACGCGAGAACAUCUUUCAUACUCGAUGUCAAAUUCGAGAUAAGGUGUGUGGGAUGAUCAUUGAUAAUGGAAGUUGCACUAAUGUUGCGUCAACUACCUUGGUGGAGAAAUUGGGUUUAACUACCCUUCCACAUCCCAAGCCAUAUAGUUUGCGAUGGCUGAAUGAGAAUGGGGAGAUUCGGGUGACAAAGCAAGUUCGUGUACCUUUUUCCAUUAAAACCUAUCACGACGAGGUUUUGUGUGACGUUGCGCCAAUGUCAGCUAGCCAUUUGUUGUUAGGUCGUCCAUGGCAGUUUGAUAAGGAUGUGACCUACAAUGGACGAAAGAACACUUAUUCUUUUAUGCUGAAUGGAAAGAAGGUGAACUUGUUACCACUGAGUUCUCAACAGGUUAGAGAGGAUCAGUUACGAAGCCAACAAAAGGAGGUGACAUCACGAAAGGGAUGUUGUUAGCAAAAAAAGGAGACAUCAAACAAGCAUUAGCCACGAUAGGGAUUGUUUUCAUGGUCUGGGCAAAGCAACUACUACAAGUAGAAGGAUUGGACUUACCAAGACAGAUUAAGGAAUUACUUGAAGAAUUUAAAGAUGUGUUUCCAGAUGAAUUACCUAAAGGGUUACCACCUAUUCGUGGAUUGAGCAUCAAAUUGAUUUGGUGCCGGGAGCUUCACUUCCUAAUAGACCAGCAUACAGAUGUAAUCCAGAGGAAGCGAAAGAGAUUCAAAGGCAGGUCGGUGAGCUCUUAGAGAAGGGCUAUGUGCGAGAAUCACUUAGUCCAUGUUCCGUACCUACUUUGCUUGUACCGAAGAAAUGGUACCAUGAGGAUGUGUAUGGACAGCCGCUAUCAACAAAAUAACAGUUAAGUAUCGAUUUUAUACCCAGACUUGAUGAUUUGCUUGAUGAGUUGCAUGGUGCUGCAUUGUUUUCUAAAGUCGAUUUGAUGAGUGGCUAUCACCAAAUUAGAAUGAAAGAGGGAGAUGAAUGGAAAACAACAUUUAAAACUAAACAGGGGUUAUAUGAAUGGAUGGUAAUGCCGUUUGGGUUAUCUAAUGCCUAGUACAUUUAUGAGGCUUAUGAAUCAUGUUUUAAUGAAGUAUAUUGAGCUGUUUGUUGUAGUAUAUUUUGACGACAUCCUGGUGUAUAGCAAGACCUUUAAUAAUCAUGUGAAACAUCUUAGAAUUGUGUUUGAGACUUUGCAAGAUUCUAAGUUGUAUGAGAAAUUCACAAAGUUUUACUUCUAUAAAGAAAGUGUCAUGUUUCUUGGAUAUAUUAUCUCUAGCAGGGGAGUUAGAGUUGAUGAGGAGAAAAUUAAGGCAAUUCGAGACUGGCCAAAACCUGCUAGUAUCGCUGAUGUGAGGAGUUUUCAUGGUUUAGCUUCUUUCUACAGGCGAUUUGUGAAAGACUUCAGCUCUAUUGUUGCUCCUAUGACAGAAUGCUUGAAAAAAGGCAAAGAGUUUAGAUGGAGUGAAGAUGCGCAGAAAGCUUGUGAGCUAAUUAAGGAAAAGUUGUGUACUGCUCCAGUUUUAGCACUUAUAGACUUUGCUAAAACAUUCAAAAUAGAGUGUGAUGCUUUCAGGGUUGGAAUUGGUGCUGUUUUGAUGCAAGAAAAGAGGUCGAUUGCAUUCUUCAGUGAAAAGUUAAAUGGAGCACGUUUGAACUACUCUAUUUACGACAAGGAGUUCUAUGCUUUGAUUCGGGCUCUAGAGGUAUGGUAGCACUACUUGUUGCCUAAAGAAUUUGUUAUACAUAUUGAUCAUGAAUCCUUGAAGUAUCUUAAGUGGCAAAGCAAGAUGAAUUGAAGACACGCUAAAUGGGUGGAGUUUAUGGAGUCAUUUCCUUAUGUCAUAAAGUACAAGAAAUGGCAAGUUAAUGUGGUUGAUGAUGCUCUUUCUAAGAGGUAUGCACUGAUAUCUAUGUUGAAUGCAAGGUUGAUGGGUUUUGAACAAGUGAAGGAUCAGUAUGCCAAUGAUUCCUAUUGGUUUUGAACAAGUGAAGGACCAGUAUGCCAAUGAUUCCUAUUUUGCUAAUGUGGUUGCCGAAUGUGCAAAGGGAGCUUGUGAUGGGUUCUUUAUGCAUGAAGGUUACUUGUUCAAAAUGGGCAGAAUGUGUAUUCCUUCAGGUUCGUUACAGGAGUUGCUUGUGCGAGAGGCUCAUAGUGGUGGUCUUAAUGGUCAUUUUGGGGAGAAGAAGACUUAUGAGCUGCUGAAAGAACAUUUUUUUUAGCCUAGUAUGUUACGGGAUGUACACAAGAUGAUUGAAAGAUGUGGUAUUUGUAAGAGAGCAAGGGAUAAAGAGAAUGCAUAUGGACUAUAUAUGCCAUUACCUAUUCCAGAGCAACCAUGGAUGGAAAUUAGCAUAGACUUCGUACUUGGAUUACCAAGAACACAACGUGGGAAGGAUUUAAUAAUGGUGGUGGUUGAUUGAUUCUCCAAAAUGUUCCAUCUCAUUCCUUGUAACAAAACUAACGAUGCAGUACAUGUUGUUGAUUUGUUCUUUCAAGAGAUUGUUUGUUUGCAUGGAGUUCCUAAAAACAUUGUCUCUGAUCGUGAUACAAAGUUUUUAAGCCACUUUUGGAAGACUCCUUGGAGGAAACUUGGAAUGAAGUUACUUUUCAGUACGGCAUGUCAUUCACAAACUGAUGGACAAACUGAGGUAGUAAACUGAACUUUAUCUUCUUUGUUACGAACUGUUAUACAUAAGAAUAUAAAGAGUUGGGAUACUUGUUUACCUAUUACGGAGUUUGCAUAUAAUCGUAGUGUGCAUAGGGCUACAAAAUUUUCAUCAUUUGAUGUUGUGUAUGGCUUUAAUCCUUGUGUUCCUAUUGAUCUUGUUCAUAUUCCAAUUGAUGAGAGGACAUCUAUGGAUGGAAUUAGAAAUGCAGAAUUGAUGAAGAAACUACAUGAGCAGGUUCGACUGCAUAUUAAGGAGAAAACAACAAAGUAUGCUAAACAAGCUAACAAGGGGCGAAAGAUGGUCAGGUUUGAACCUGGAGAUCUUGUUUGGAUUCAUAUUAGUAAGGGCAGAUUUCCAAGCAAAUGUAAGUCCAAGUUGAUGCCAAGAGCUGAUGGCUCAUUUCGGAUUAUAGAGAAGGUGAAUGACAAUGCGUAUAAGGUAGAUCUUCUUAGUGAUUAUAACAUAUCAGCUACUUUUAAUGUGAAAGACUUGACUCUAUACUUGGAUGAUGAUGAAGAUUCUGAUUUGAGGACAAAUCAUUAUCAACCCGGGGCUGAUGAUGUGCAUCAUGGUAAUUAUAAUCCAUCUCGUAAAGCUGAAUCUAAUAUGCAUGAGGAUUCAGAUGGUCCAAUGACAAGAGCGAGAGCGAAACAACUACAACGGGCCUUGACGAAUCAAAUUGCGAUGAUUGAAUCUGCGUCGGAGUUAAAAAUUAACAAUCAGUUUGAAAUUGGUUCAAGGUGCUUAUUUGCCUACAAUUAGAACUUGGAGAUGGGAAAAGCCCUUAAUGGUUCUUUUGAUGCUAGGCUACUUGUAUUUGGAUUGAUAAUGCAAAUAAGUGAAGGAAUUGAUGUUGUUUACGGUCAGAACAGUAGAUGGAUUUGAACCCGAAUUUGAAGUCAUCCAUUGCAUGUGAUAACAAGACUUAUCUAGGUAAAAUUCAAGUUCGGAACGUGAUCUUUCUAGAUUGUCCAACCAUGAUUGCAUUAGACUUUUGUGUCAAAAGUUAUGGCUGUUUUAAAUUUGGUCUACUUAUGUUUCAGAAAUGUAAAAAAAAGCGUGUGUUAGUUAAAUUUGUCUAGUUAUUUUAUUAAAAGUCUGAGUUUUAGGCUUGACUUCUGUCAUGUUGAAUUUUCCUAACUUUGGAGGGAUGUUCCAAUUAUAAAUAUAGUAUCAGAAUAUGUAAUAAAGACUUUUGGCCAAGAUUUGAAACUUAAUUAAGAGAAUUAAGAGUUGUUCUUCCAAAUUGAUUUUUGUGAAGAACCAUACCUGACUUAUCACUCAUCAAUCACAAAGAGUGUGGCGUUGAAAUCCUAGAUUGAUCUUUGUGGCGUCCAGAUCGACUUGUCAAAGUAUCAUUCUAGUCUAUCAUUCAUCUUAUUUAUCUUAAAAUCACUACAAUCCAACCUAAAUAUCAAAAGAAAGACAGCACAACCAGACCCAUCCUUCAUCCAUUUUCGUUAGAAUCAUUGUUGCCGAUUUUCAAAUCAUUCACGGCACAUCAAUUCUAGUGCGAAAGUUAUCUGCGUCGGUGAAGGAUCGACUCCUGUAGUUUAUGCACUGCGAGAUUUAGGAUUUGUCAAUGCUUUUGGGGUUCAUAGACACCCCUUCUUCUCUCUUAAACAUAAGAGGAUGGUUUAUGAGCUUGAAUAUGCAGAAAAUUCCUUUGAUUUUGUGUUCUCAGGAGACCUAGACAAGGUUUCAGUCCCUGCCAUUGUUGUGCUCGAGAUCGAGCGUGUUCUGAAGCCUGGUGGAAUUGGGGCUAUUCUUGGUGGCCUUAAUAGUUUGAACGCCAAUAGCCUGAUCAGGUCUGCCAUGCCUUUGUCUUCAUUAUUGAAGAAUUCCAACAUUGUAUACGGUGGUUGUUUUCAAGAAAAGAAUUUAUAGUGUUGGCUACUUUCAGCAAUACCAGCUGCCAGCUGAUUGCCCGUCUAUCAUGAAUAAUAGACCUCAUUUGGAGAAUUUAGAACCUCUCACGGAGAUCAAGCAAGGGGAACAUGAGCAAAGCAUAGCUUAUUUGCCCAAGUUCAUUGAUUUGCCCGCUAGGAAGCAGUUAGUGUAUGUUGAGAAAAGCACAACAAAUUUUUUUUUUAAAAUUAGUUUAAAGUGAAUAAAAAUUUUUCGUACUGUAAUUUUAAUUUUAUUUUUAAUAAUAUUUUAUUUAAUUUUGUAGUUUUUAUUUGAUGAAUUUUAUAUAUAAUGAAAUUAUAGAUAGUUUUUAUUAAAAUAAUUUAUAUAUAUAUAAAAUAAUUUAUUUCAUGAUAUAAUAAUAAUAAUAAUAUAUAUUAUUUAUCCUGAGAUCGAAACGAGUCCCGUGUUCUUGGCUCGCAUGUUUGGCUGCCUGGCUUCUUAGAUCACCUGCAUUUGUAUAGCCUUGGCUUCCUGUCGAUGGACAAGAAUCUAGAGGAAGGGAAGCCGAAAUGCCGUGGUUGAUCAGAUCAUUAUGUAAUCUUGCUAUUUUCACAAAUCAACUUUUUUCCAUUUUUAUAAAACGAAACAAAAAACCUUUUGUGGAGUAAUAACGGUGGCAAAAUGCGUACCAAUCACUCUGUUGCCGUUUUAUGCAAGUCAUUUUAUCCUUCCACCACAAGGAAAUGCCAUGCGGUGAGGCAGGAGAAUGAACGGAUGACCACAAUUCAAUACAAUCCUUUCCUAUAAAUUCAUGCAGCCAAAUUCAUGUACUGUGUCGUAUUCUUUUUUAAUAUCUGUUAUUCAAGUUGAGAAUUGGGGCAUGCUGUUUGUCUGCCUAUGAAUUUUGAAGACAUUUUCUUAUUUAUUCUUAGUCUAAAAUCACAUGCAUUUAUUAACAUACACUAAAAGAGCUGUUUUUUCCCUUUUUUUUUCCUUUUUUUUUUUUUUUUUUACUUUAGAUCAAUUAUUGUAUACUAUCAUGUGGAUUGAAGCGAUGGUAUUUUUUUUUUUUUUGUAAUUUUUAAUUUGUUUUUAAAACUUUUAUAUUGCAUGAUUUAUCUUUUUUAAGCCUAAAAUAACACAGUACUCAAUUGCGUAUUUCUUUUUAGAGAGAUGGUUGAACUGAAAAUAAAAAGCACGGGUAAAGUAGAGUGCUGGAUUUUAAAUUUGUUUGAAAAGUUUAUUUUUACCCCCUUAAUUUGUUUUAGCUAUUAGGUUAUCUUUUAAUUUUAAAAAAUUCAAUUUUGAUACUGAACUUUAUUUUUAUUUUUUUAGUUAUUUUUUGGUGAGAGGAGAGAGAGACUUAUCGAAUUUCAACGUAGAAAGAGACUUGUCAUUAACAAUGAUUCUAGCCACUAAAAUUAUCGAUUUUUUUGUCAAAUGGUUCCAUAUAAUAAGGUGAGUUCAAAUUAGGCAUGUGUGUUUGUUUUUUACCUUAAAAAUAUCUAAAAAACAUAUAUGAGUCUGGAAAGAAUUUUUGUUUUAGUUUGAUUUUGGUUUUUGAGGUGUUUUUUUUUUUUUUUUUUUGCGUUUUGUAGGUAAUUGAUUGGUUUAAACAAGUUUCUAGGGUGUUUUAUGUAAAAAAAAAAAAAAGGUUCACAAUGAGUUUGUUGAUGAAAAAAUUAUGAAUCCUGUUUUUUCGAGCCAUUAUGAGGAUUUCGAGAUGACGUGUUGUCCUUUUAUUUCCAAAUAUUUAAAGGCCCGCACAUGGGCUGUUGCUUGAUUAGUUAGGUGUUUGACUUGGUUUACCAGGCCCAAUAACACUUAACCUUAUUUUUUUUUAAUGUGUUUGAUCAGGCUGUACUUUGACUCAUUAGGUCAAUCAGGUCAUAUAAAAUCAAAUUUAAUUUAUUUAAUUUAAAAUCAGGAUACAAUCCAAUAAGUCUUCGAUUUUAAUUGAAAUAUAUUAAAUAAUAUCUAUUUGAGAUAUUAUUUUAUUGAAUAAAAAAAUACAUUAGGGAUUUAAGAUGAAGGGCUUUUAAUCAAAGAGAUACAUUUUUUAUUUAUUUAUAAUAUCUAGAAUUUUUUGGGUAUUGUUUUUUAUUUUUAUUAAAUAAAGUAAAUAGAAAAAACAAAUGUCUUUUUCAUGGAAAAUAAAAUUAACAAGAGAAGUAGAGGCUAUACUAGCAUAUCAUUAUGUUACAAUACGAUAUAAAUUAUUAGUUUUGAAGAUAAGUUAUUGAAAAAUAAUUAAAUGAGAAAAAUUUAUCGGUUUUUUGUGGUAUGAGAUUAUAUACCUUAAUCUAUAAUUAUAUAUUUCUUGAUUGAGUUUUUUUUAUUGUUAACAACUUUCUUUUAAUAUUUAUUGGCUAAAAAUAAUUCCUUUUUUAUUUUAUUAAAUACAUGUGGAAUUUUCAUUUUACAACUAGAAUAUUUCUUGAUGUUAAGAAAAAACACUAAAAGCACUUGUAAAUAUUUUCUUCCUUUCAGAUUAGCUUAUGAUUCAACCACUGUUUUUGUGUUUUACAUUAUAAUCAUUGAAAUAAAAUAAUUAUAAUAUUAUGUAGGAUAUUAUUCCAUUAAAUGUCUUUCAGUUUUAAAUUUGUAUUCAAAUAAGAUUAUAACAAUAUUUUAUCUUAAUAAAUGCUUUUUGCUAUGGUCCUUCUUCUUUUUUUUUUUUAAUUUCUUAAAUUUUAAUAAAAUUUGUUAUAAUUAAAUAGAUAAGAUUAUAUUUAAGAUAUCAUUUUACUAGAGAUCAUUCAAUUACAAUAUAACUAAAAAAUAAAAAAUUAAGAGCUUCUAGCAUGAGAUUAAAUAUCUCUCUCUCUCUCUCCCUCUCUCUCUCUCUCUCUCUAUAUAUAUAUAUAUAUAUAUAUAUAACAAUGGUAUGAUGUUGUAGUUUUGGUUUAGUGUUGAUAACUUUGUUUUUUUUUUUUUGUAUUUAUCAACACAUGCAUGUAAUUUUCAUUUAGUUUUAUUAAAUACAUGUAUUAAUUUUUUAAUUUACAAGUAAUUUUUUUAUUAAAUUUGAAAAAUGCAGUGGCAAUGCUAGCACAUGUUAACUGAUUAGUACUUCAUUAAUGGAGGUUUUUUUUCCUGCAGGGGAUUUGAUGGACUGUGUAUCAUUCAUAAUGCACCUAAAUUUUCUAUUGUGACUCUUUUCCUCUACAUGAAAUGCAAUCUAUUUACAGUGUUUGAAAAUAUGGAUCAAUUUGUAUUUUUUAAAUUGUUUUUAUAUAUUUUAGAUUAUUUUGAUAUAUUAAUUUCAAAAAUAAUUUUAAAAAAAUAAAAAAUAUAUUAUUUUAAUACAUUUCAACAUGAAAAAUACUUUAAAAAAUAAUCACAAUUACAUUUCCAAAACAUCCCUUAAUAUCUUACUUAACAAGGGUUCUUGAAAGUCAAUAUAUUUAUCACAUAAUAAUUAUUUUUUAAAAUAUUUUUUAUUUAAAAAUAUAUUAAAAUAAUAUUUUUUAUUUUUAAAAGUAAUUUUUAAAUUAACAUCUUAAAAUAUCUGAAAACAUAAAAAACCUAAUUUAAAACAAAAAAAAUUAAAAAUACUUUUACAACAUAAAAAUAGACGUACACCAAAAUAAAUAGACGUUCAUCUCCUAGGAAGAACAAGUAUGGCCGCAGAUAAAAUCGAGCAAGGAGCUAGGACAGCCUUUUAUCAUCAUUUUAGUUUUGUGGCAAGAAAUAUUUUAAUUAUAGACUCAAUCUGAAAAACAUAUCUCAUCAUAGCUGCAGGAAGCAACGGAAGACACUUUAAAAAAGCGCUGACACCACAGUUUUUUUUUUAAAAAAUAACUGUUAAUUUUUUAAAAUUAUUAUAAUCUUAUAAAAAAUAAAUUAAAAUUUUAUUUAAUAUUAUAUUAGUUUUUACUUUUUUAAAUUAUUUUUCACUUGAAAAAUAUUAAGUCCAUAUUUUUUAUAUUUUCUUUGAAGAUUUUAAUAUGCCAUGUAAAUAAUAAUAAAAUUUUUUUAAAAAAAUUACUUCAAUAUAUUUUUAAUCAAAAAAUAUUUUUCUCAAAAUAACAUAAACCACAAUAUUAAACACAUUGAAAACCUAAUUCUUUAAAAAUACAAUAUUGAAAAAUAAAAUAAAAUUAUUAUACAAGUCAAUAAUAAUUUAUCUCUUCAUCAAGAGUCCCAAUAAGUUUUAAUUUAAAAGAUAAAUAGAAUUAUAGUAUAAAAUACUUUUCAAAAUAAUUUUUUUAAUUUUAUUUUUAAUAUAAACAUAUCAAAAUUAUAUAAAAAUAAUAAUUUCAUAUUUUUUUAAAUCAAAUCUUGCGGUGAUUAACAUCUCUAAAUACCCAUUUGACACUGUAGCUACGGUUGCGGUUUACAAUAAAAAUAGGACUUUGAUGUUUGGUAAUCUUAAAUCGUAUUUUUAUUUGACAUGGGUCCCAUGCAAAAACUGAGAUUGGAUCCCAGCUUGUGAAAAAUGACUCACACCUGCUUUUCACUCCAUGCUCUCCUCUCAUUGAAACUUUUUUUCUUGUAACUAAAAACUUUCAUUGCAUGAGGUAACAACUCUAUUCUCUUCCCCUCUGUUAAACUUGAUAUGGACGAAGAUUGACGAACAAACACUUCAGCACUCAAGGUUUACAAUGGCCAUUGGACCAGGUAGUUUGGUGUGUCAAUGGCCAUCAUGCUAAAAAUCUUUCUAUGAUGGGUCCUACACUUUAGUGUCUCUCUUGAUUCUUGAGGAACAAGGAUCAAUCUGUAAAAAACACAAGAGAAAGAGAGUUUGUUGCCUGUUGAGAUGAAGUAGUUUUUUGUGUAAGCAUGGAGGCAGUAAUUCUAGAAGGGGCUGUCUUUCUUUUUCUGCAAGUUGACCAAAAAUUGCAUACACUAUCAAAGUAUUAUCAUAACUUCUGUCUUUGUACACCUAAAAAAAUUAUAUUUAUAUUUUUUUUUGAAUUCACAUAUAAUUGUAUUUAAACUUUAAUUUUGUAAAAAAUAGAACAUGUUUAUAGAUCUAUUUUUUUAUUUUAUUUUAUAUAUAAAAAAUUAUUAUAUAAUAUUUUUAAUCAAAUACAUGUUUUUUAAAAUUUAUUUUUUAAAAAACAACAACUAAAUUGUAGUUGCAUAUCAAUGACACAACAUAACUAUAUUAGAAGACGAUUACAAGAUGAUAAGGUUUUUUUCGAGUAUGGUCACAAUCCCGCUCAAUUAUUUCACCUUAGUAUCUCUCAUUUCAGAUGACUUUUUAUCUGAUAUUGUACCUCGCUCAACUAUUUAAUGAUCUCAGUAGCUUUUACAUAUAGAUUUUGUAUAAGAUGAAAUUGCAAAUAAUUUGAUGAAACAAUAAAAAUCUUUUAUUAUUGUACAAUGAUUAUUUAUUUUGUUAUAUAAUUAUACUUCUAAAACAACAAAAUUUUGCCAUAUAUAUAUAUAUAUAUAAUGUCCUUUUCAGCAACCAUGAAAUUGCAAACUGUUUUUUAAAACCACAACCAUAAUACAAAAUAUAAUCUAAAUUUUUUUAUGCUCCAUCCUCGGAUGACCAUAAUGACCUCAUCUCAGCAACCCACUUGGGAGAUGCUACCUGUGAAAAUCAACAAGCACGUCCUCCAUCAACAAUCAUCUUCUUCUGUUUUACCCCUUUCAAAAGUAGAGAAUCAUGAAGACAUUCCAAACCCAGUAGUGUUGAGAAACCAAACAUAUUCUAUAUUUCGAAUUCUUAAUAGUUCAAAGAAAUUGCCACCAAGGACUUCCAAAUGCUGGUUGAUGGCGUUGGCUUGCAUGUUUGGCACAAUGCCAGUAUUUUAACCUUGCCGCUUGCAUAUUUUCCCGUUUGAUUAUUACAGAAGCAGGGGAUUUGAAAGGAAAAUAAGACCAGCAAACUACUAUCCACAUACAAGUGGCAGCAGCACCUGUUUAGUCACUCAUCAGGCCCAUUGUUGACCUUAAUCUCUAGGAGCAUGUCAACUGGUUGCCAUGCAGAUGGGGCAUCUGUUCGUUUGGAACCUCAAAACCUUUGCACAUCCACUGCACAUACACUGCAACGUGGGAGAAGAGAAGGGUGAAAAAAAACAAAGAAAGAAAGCAAAAGCAAAAAGACACUAGGCUAAUGUGUCACCAACAGAUAUCGACUGGAUUUCUAAAAUCAGAUUACUUAAAUAACCACUUAAAUGGAAAUUCAUGUCGAAGCAUUUUAGUCUAUUAAUUCACCAUGGUUACAUUGUUAAUGCACUGGCAGUAGUACACAUCAUUCCAGACAGUUCAGCCUUGAACCUUCACAUGGAAUUCACAAGACUCUUUUAAUGCAGCAUUUUUGCAAUUGCAUUGGAUAUAGACACGAAACAGCAGGAAAAGUGUCAUGCUCACAUCCGUUGCUAUAUAUGUUCAAAGAAACCGUUUUCUGUAGCCUUCCUUCACAACUUACCAGAAUGAUUUUUCACCAUGAUAAAUAGUCCUUGCUUGAAAAACAAUUCCUAAAAUAUAGACAGUGGGUAAAGAGCAUUUCUUCCUUGUUUCUUCCCCUUCAUGAUCUAAACUACCCCAGCCCAGUGAAAAAGUAAAAAUGAGAGAGAAAGAGAGGCAAAAGAAAAAUAAAGAAAAUGGGGCUUACCAUGUGCCGGCAAGGAAGAACGGUAGUGUCCCGUGGUUCUGACAGGCAAAUGACACAUUCUUCACGUGGGUCAUUUGCAUUUCCAAUCCCGUAUAUCUCCUGAAGCUCAUAUCUCAUCCCAUUCACCAAGAGGAUCUGCUUCAUCACCCUUACUUGGUACUCACCUUUCUCCAUCUCGAACACUGCAUGUGUUAUCUGAGAGUUGAUAGCUCCAGACAUUUGGUUUCCUUCUGUUCCCUUUUGAUUAGCAGGGGAUGCCUCUGCUUUUACUGCUAGAGGAUAGGCAUCCAUCUCACCCUCAUUUACCAGCUCUUUCUCCUCAAACAAGGUGAAAUCAAUCCCUGUCCCAGAAGGCUGUCUGAACUUCUGGCCCAGACCUUGUUGGAAAUUAACUGUUACUGGUGGAAGGAGGUCUGCCUUCGUUGGUGUCAGGAUACAAUCCUCGCCUUCUUUUGCAAAGAAAAUAAUAGUGAUGCUGUUUGCAGAUCAAAGAAAUGCCGAGUGUUGCAAGAAAUUAAUACCAGAUGCUCAAUAACAAGAAAUGCAAAAGAGGAAAAAAUAAUUCAGACAUUCAGCUGAAAUGCAUAUAACCAAGAUUAAAACCAAUUUCUAUGACUGAACACAAAGCUUCUAUGAAUUCAAUAAACUCAGAGUGUAUCAGAAUUUAUGCAUGUCUUGCAAAAGAAAGUACCAAGAAAGCAUCCACAAUAUAUCAAAAAGAUCAAUGAUGAUACCGACAGUAGCAAUUAGGAAAUACUCCCAAGCAAAGUCAAAUGCAUGGAAGUAAAAAAAAAAAAAAAACAGUUCAUCAUUCUACAAUCAUUUACCAUUCCCUUUGUUUAUGAGUUACUAAGCUAAAUGCUGAACGAUGAUUAUGAGAUUGUUAGCCAGACUUUUUCACAGAGUAUUAUUUUGUGAUAGAAAUUGACAUGAUUAGGACAAAUGAUCUACAUUUACUAUCAUUUCCUUUUAUAGAACACCAUAGUUUCCAGCUAAGAAAGUGACAUGUACUGAAAAUGAUAGUGUCUUUCACUCGAUUCAAGCGAUUGAAACUCUUAUGAAUGACAUCCAAUUGAUAAAAAUUGCAUUUUUGGGCUCCAAGCUUGAUUUUCCAUAAUGAUUAUGAGCACUUAAAGGGCGACAACUUUCUUUUUUAUUUUUAUUUUUUUAUGAGGACACAACUCAAAAAUAAAAGGUCCACUAUCCAAUUACAGCAUAACACUGAAGAGGGCAAAAUGAGGGAGUUUACAAGCUUCCCAGCCCUCGAACCUUAUUGCAGGAGAUAGGAGCGGUGCUCUCAAGAUUCAAACCCCAAACUUCACAGAUGCGUGUCUAUUUUAACAUUCCCCAAGAAUGACCCCUAUGUAAUUGGAUUGGAAGAACAAAAAACCAUUCCAUUUAUCAGUCAUGAUAAAAUCCCAUUAAGAACAGAAUGCCAUAGUCUUUAAAACAUAGCACAAGCUGAGAAACCUAACUAAACACCCGUUCCAAUGGUCUCUUCACCGAAGAGUCAUUCAGAAAUAACCCCAGAUUCAUCAUCUCGUCAAUUUUGUGAACAAUCCCAAUUUCUAAGACAAGAUUAGAUGUCUUAAGCAGGCCCAAGGAUCUCUGAUUAGGAAAAUCCUCUGAAAUACCCAUGAAUCCAUAACUUGCCCGAAAAUAAAUAUAUUCUACCAAAUCAAUCUUCACUACACAAAAGGAUAGGUUUCGCCUUCGGGCAGUUAAACCAUUUCCUUCAAGCUGUCAAAUCACCAUACAAAACUCCAGGUAUGCUAAACACAAAAUUCUAAUGUAAUCCCUAAUUAGAACGUCAAGUUAGCUCUUGCUUUCUACCUUUCUAUCCAAGGAGUAACUUUGACACUCGUACAUCUAUAAAAGUGGAUUCACUCCGAGAACAAUUCUCAACAAUGAUAGCAAAAAAAAUACAAUUUUAGAAUAUUGGCAACAUAUCAAGAUGAUUAUCACCAAGUAGUGAUCAAACCAUGUAAAAUGAAAUUAUUUGUAAAUCAUCCACUGACCUACUAGCAAGAAGUUAAACCAAGGAGUCAACAAUCAAGAUUUUAUAUAAAUACUCAUUCAAAAUUCUCUCAAGUCAAAAACUUUCAAAGUCAAAUUACUUUACAAAGAACAAGCUCCUUCAACAAUCAAAAUCCAGUACUGCUAUCAAACAAUGACGGAAAAAACCUUAAAAAAAAAAAAUCUUUCUACACAUGCAAUAACAAAAACACAGCAUCAAAAUAAAAACAAAAUUUAAAACAAAGCUUUAACCUUUACCUUCCAGCAACAGAAGCAUCAAACGUGAAUGUAACAAGAUAGCUCCCUGGAUUCUCCUCGUCCGGUUCAAUCCUCAAACUCUCCUUCUUCAAAUUAACAUCAUUCCUUAUAGUAACCGCCACGUUGUUUCUGCUGCUGAUGUUGGCCAUGAUGAAGUUUUGGGUUGGGUUGGACUGUUUCUGUCUUUUUUAGGUUCACAGUUUGCUAAAAAAACAGGUGAGAGAAUUAUCCAGUAGCUUUGUUUAGCUGUAACUGACAGAAGCGGAUCUGGAACCUACAACGGUUCUGUUUUUUGUUUUUUUGUUUUAUUUUUGUUUUAAUGGCAAUCAUAGAAAGGAAGGAAACGAAGGGAAAGUUUUCGGUGAGGAAGGAAAUGGAGGGAAACAACAAGGAGAUUUUUUAUUUCUGCUUUUGUUUGCUGUUUAUACAACAACAACAAGGAGAAGAGAGGGAGGAGGAGGAGAAAUGAUUUUGCAAAAGGAGAAGAACACAAGGGAUGAAGAGAGGAGGGAGGAGGAGGAGGAGGAGGAAUCCGGGGGUGGGUGGUGUAAUGGGAUUGCGUAAAG
This 21198-nucleotide long non-coding RNA is filed under the name Populus tremula. Its description in RNAcentral is "long non-coding RNA (PTRE_LNC002544)". Lineage: Eukaryota; Viridiplantae; Streptophyta; Magnoliopsida; Malpighiales; Salicaceae. The record is from RNAcentral.